AGAACGAACGCUGGCGGCGUGCCUAACACAUGCAAGUCGAACGAGAAAGGGACUUCGGUCCUGAGUACAGUGGCGCACGGGUGAGUAACACGUAGGUAACCUACCUCUAAGUUUGGGAUAACCUGUCGAAAGAUGAGCUAAUACUGAGUGAGACCACAGUUUCCUCGGAAGCAGGGGUCAAAGGUAGCCUCUAUUUAUAAGCUAUCGCUUGGAGAUGGGCCUGCGUACCAUUAGCUAGUUGGUGAGGUAACGGCUCACCAAGGCAAAGAUGGUUAGCUGGUCUGAGAGGAUGAUCAGCCACACUGGAACUGAGACACGGUCCAGACUCCUACGGGAGGCAGCGAGUGGGGAAUAGUUGCGCAAGUGGGACGAAAGCCUAGACGCAGCAACGCCGCGUAGAGUUGAGUUACGACGGUCCGUUGGUACGUAAGUCUCGU
Molecule: ribosomal RNA, 437 nt
Filed under: uncultured soil bacterium
Lineage: Bacteria
Description: bacterial SSU rRNA
Rfam family: Bacterial small subunit ribosomal RNA
Source: RNAcentral